This is a non-coding RNA of Elaeis guineensis (African oil palm), 638 nucleotides long. The record is from RefSeq and is a predicted model, not a curated record. Lineage: Eukaryota; Viridiplantae; Streptophyta; Magnoliopsida; Arecales; Arecaceae.
AUGGCUGUAACGGGAUUUCAAGAUGACGCCUAUCUCGUUGGCAAACCCAUUUCCCGUUUCACCUAUUUCGCCGUGUCCUAGAUCUCCUCUUCGUCCGUCCAUCCUCUUCCUAGUGUCCUAAGUUUCUCAACCCGUGUCCUCCACUACCGAGUGUCAUCCACUGCCCCCCACCUCCCCCAUCGGGUGUUCCGCUACCUGAAUCCGCCGGGAUUAAGCUGCUUCAUCUCCGUCGGCUUCUCCCCUCCUCUUCCUCUCCCGAGCGUAGAGGAGCACCUCUGCCGUCGAUCGAGCGAUCAAUGAAGGGGAAACAGAGUUGGUGGACAUUGCGAGGUUUUGAGCUUAGAAGAUAAAGUGGUUUCCAUCUGAUUUUUUUUUCCUGGGUUUUUUCUUGGAUUUUGGCUAUUACUGGGAUUCCUACUGGUUCUUCAUUAUUUCUGGUAUUAAUCGAGUUUGCCUUUUGGAAAUGGAGAUGAAAUUAUUGUUUUUGGUGAUUUUUUUUCAAUUAAUUUUGAUCUAGAGUGUUACAGAAAGGGGAUCUUUUAGGGACCGGCUGUUGUUGAAUCAAGGGGAUCUUUUAGUGUGUGCUCAAUGGAGAUUCAUGGUGUACUGGUUUGAUUGUGAUUUAAAAACAUAAUUUC